This 24-nucleotide small nuclear RNA is filed under the name Arabidopsis thaliana (thale cress). Its description in RNAcentral is "snRNA_08032". The record is from RNAcentral. Lineage: Eukaryota; Viridiplantae; Streptophyta; Magnoliopsida; Brassicales; Brassicaceae.
CUCUCUUCUUUUUGUUCGUUUGUU